UCUUCCGUAGGUGAACCUGCGGAAGGAUCAUUA
RNAcentral lists this ribosomal RNA (33 nucleotides) under Mycoleptodiscus sp. NE_4. RNAcentral describes it as "partial 18S ribosomal RNA". The record is from RNAcentral. RNAcentral also lists the same sequence under 1 other name. Lineage: Eukaryota; Fungi; Ascomycota; Dothideomycetes; Muyocopronales; Muyocopronaceae.